GUUUAAUAUCCAAUUUAAAAAUUUUAAAUUCUAAUUUUCAUUUCUUAAACCAAAUUCAUAAUGUGACAUAAACCUAUGUUGUGUCAACUAUUUAAUCACAAUCCACAUUUAUAGCUGUAUCAAACUUAAAAGUUGUGUCCAUACUUGUCCCAUCUGUUCAGGGUUCUACAUCUGCGGUCGUAUAAUGCUGCGCCCUGCGAAGCAACUGGUUAAGAACUGCCCCAGCUGAACUAUCUUCUUGACAACAGGGAGUUCAAUCAUGUAAUUCAUGGUCUGUAAACUCUUCCCAGGUGUGUGUUUGUGAAAAUAUGACAAGUGAAAAGUAGCCAUAAUCAGGUGGUGGUAGGAGUCUUUUGCUGACCACUAUGUUACUGGUAGGGGCUGUAGGUAUUUACUAUUAUCAUAAAUACAUGCAUUAAGGGCACAGGAACA
RNAcentral lists this long non-coding RNA (432 nucleotides) under Mytilus galloprovincialis (Mediterranean mussel). The record is from RNAcentral. Lineage: Eukaryota; Metazoa; Mollusca; Bivalvia; Mytilida; Mytilidae.